Molecule: long non-coding RNA, 314 nt
Organism: Alnus glutinosa
Lineage: Eukaryota; Viridiplantae; Streptophyta; Magnoliopsida; Fagales; Betulaceae
Exons: 3
Source: RefSeq, a predicted model, not a curated record
UCUUUAUACACUUUCUCUCUUUCUCUGAGGAGUUGGUUCUCCGUUUGCCUUUGGUUCUAGAGUUCCGGAAUCGGAACGGACAGCAGGGUCGCGAUCAACGGCGACACUUGGGUGCGACGUGCCGGCGCCGGAGGCCCACCUGGCGAGCCAGUUCCUGGCAGAAUGGUUCUCUCUCUCUCUCUCUCAUCAUUUCUUGAUCGGUGAUCAUCUGGACAUGGCUCUUUACGGUGAAAAGGAAUGGUAUUUCUUUACCCCAAGGCCGAACCGGGCAGCUGGAACCGAAUACUAGAAGGUGACCGGAGCGGAUAAGCCGA